CUGAAGUCCACAGUCCUUACUCUGCUGCUCUCCAUCCUUCCUUUCCUUAGUAUCCUUAACUCAAAUGUUUUGUGAUUACUACUGCCCAAGUUGCCAUCCACUACUACAUUCCCCACCAAUUCUUCUGUUUGGGAGCAGCAACUCAAGAAGAGCAUGGCCCUUAGUUAGCCACUCCAGCACUUCUGCCAGGAAGUUGUGCCCAAUACUCUCCAAAAGCUUCCUGGAUUGCCUGUGCAUUGCUGUAUUGCCCUCCCAGCAGAUGUCAAGAUGAUUGAAGUCCCCCAUGAGAAACAGCACUUGUGAUUGGGAAGCUUUCACUAGCUGUUUGAAGAAGCCUCAUCCACCGCUUCCUCCUGGUCUGGUGGUCUAUAGCACACACCCAGGACAAUAUUACCCUUGUUGCUCUCCCCUCUAACCUUAACUUAGAGACUUUCACCAGGCCUAUCUCGUUUCAUACUGGAUCUCUGAGCAAUUGUACAUCUCGUACAUACAGUACAAUUCUUCCUCCUCUCCUCCCCUGCCUGUCCUUCCUGAACAGUUUGUACCCGCCCAAGACAGUGCUCCAGUCAUGCGAGCUAUCCCACCAAGUCUCUGUUAUUUCGAGCAUGUCAUAGUUCCGUGACUGGGUGAAGACUUCUAAUUCUUCCUGCUUGUUUUCCAGGCUCUGUGUAUUUGUGUACAAGCACCUGAGGAAAGCAGUCAAUUGCCCUGAUGUCUCAAGACAUAUGAGAACAUCUCCCCUGUCACCCCUCCUGCUUGCUUUUCCUUUAGGUUUCCCGCUUCCCCACCUACCUCAGGACUUUGGUCUCCAUUCCCUGGUAAGCCUAGUUUAAAACCCUCACUAGGUUAGUGAGCCUGCCUGCAAAGAUGUUCUUCCCUCUCUUCAUCAGAUGGAUUUCAUCUCUUCCCAGCACUUCUUUCUCUUGGAAGAGCAUCCUAUGGUCAAAAAAGCCAAAUCCCUGCUGGCAACACCCCCUGUGCAGCAGGUACCUCCUGAAGACUCCUCAAGCAACUGACAGCUUGAAACAGUUGGUAGAUAUCACUACAGAAAAUGAACAUGAUGAAUUCAUCAGUUCAACUGCUUUUUGGGAAUUAGUACGUUCAGUGUUUGAAGAAGUGCUUAGUUGUGAAUCAGAUAUGGCCGAGUAUUUUCUGUCUUAUAUCACUGAUGCUGAAAUCCUUUUUUGACAUUACUAUCGUCUGAGGAGUGGAGCAAAAUUUUAAGAGUGCUUAUCAACUUCCACUGUUAGCAGCUAAGGGAAAUGUCAACUAUCUAGGAUACCUGUCCUUGUAUUACUGGUGAAUGACAACAUGGAGAAUAUGAAAAGGUGCACAUGGCUACAAUAUUUUAAUUUUUGGUGACUGAAAAGACUUACAGCAAACUGCCUCCAGACCAGGUCAUUGAAAUGACCAUGAACAAAGAAUCCAAGAACAAAAGUAGUGGGGGCCAAAUUGGAUUUACCAAGAAUCUAUCCAUGGUUGCAGUCAACAUACUCAGUAAACCACUUAUUAUGCAGUUAAGGGAAAAACUAAAACAGGUGCCUCAUUUCAAGCAACACUUGUAUCGCCAUCCAGAACUGGGUCCACCAAGAAUGGAGAUGGACUGCAAGGUUGCUGAUUCUGUGAAGACAGCUCUGGAAGAAUGGGAUGCGGACCCAUGGGAUCUGCAUCGAUGAAGGUAAUGUGAUGGUGGAAAACAUUUUGGAUAGACUUUCUUCCAGAACUCAGUCAAUAUAUGAAAUUUACAAGGAAAAGUAAAACCUUUGCGACAAAGACAACUGCAACCACGAGCAAGCAAGAGAGUGUAGGAAGAUGGUUGACUAUACUUCAGUGAAACAAGUCACUGACCUUCUAACCAGCAAAAAAAAAGACAACCAUGACUUCAGAAGAAAUCAUGCAAUACAGAAUUACUGCUGAGCUCUUCACAGCAGAUGGAAUAUUCCAGAAACCUGUCAAAUCAAAGUUCAUAACAUCGAUGAACCUCCAGUUGAUCUCACCACCAUCACAUUAUUGUGCAUUAAUAGAUGUUGGAAUGAAAUGGAAUAAAGUCCAAAUAAAGUCCCACCAAGCAACACAUGGUCUAAAUAUAUCCUCAGUUUCUUCAAGUAUGUCGCUGGCUGACACCCUCAAGCAGUGGCAUUUCACUUCAUUAAUGCUGUUUAUGAUGAAGAACUGUUGAAGACUAGUACAAAACAGCACGAGCAGCAGCCUCACUCAAAGCUAUUUGGGUUCCAUUCCUAAUGUCUACCCUCUUUCUGACCAGCAAAUACCUACUGGAGCAUCCUGGCACUCAUUUCUAUCAAAGCAUUCUAAAAAAAUGAGACAAUGUUUCCUCUAGAAUUAAUGGUGUUUUUACUUCCACCACGCCGACCUAUACUUCACAAUUAAUCCAAUCUGUUAGGAUUUAAAAUCCGGAAAACAGAGCGUGCUUUGUAUUGAAAUCUUCAUGUGAGGCUGACAAAAGGGCGUUUUCUCCAUGCACUCUUGAUUUCGAAGACACUUGUUUAUAGGUUGUUGCUUGCUACAUCAGUCACGUAACUAAGCAGAUAUGAACAUGUACAAGAAGAAACCAGGAGACACCAUCAUUCUACUACUGCCAUUCAUUAUUUCCCAAGUGUGAUGUAGCAUCUGCUGCUCUUGGGUCUUACAGAUACAUUGGAGCAGACAGUGGGAGGUUUCUUUGGCUGUGGUAAAGUGACAUCAAUGAAGCAAAUCUUACAGUCAAAAGAUAUGAUGUACAUGGAGACUGCAACAACUUGCAAAAAAAGUGAGAAGCUCACUGAAGAUCCAGUCCAUAAACUGGCUUUGUUCAUUGUGAGAAUACUUUACAAUGCGAGCGAUAGUUCUCCACUAUGAAUGGAGAGAUUCACAACAUGCACAAACUUGUGAUCUAACAAAUUUUGGGUGGACAUCAGUGUUGGAUGUGUUGGAACCUGAUGCAUACUAAAAGUGGACUGCCAAAUAGAAUGAAAUUGCCUCUAACCCAUGAAAAUGGACAUUCAGAUGAGCCAAUUAAAGCUACUGUUCUAGAGUCAUCUGAAGAAGAUAGUGAUACAGAAGAAUACCUAGAUUAAGAAUAUCCAGUGUAUUUCAUAUUACAGACUUGACUUCAAAUUUGAGUUGAAGUGUUUUAUUUUACUUAAAUGUAUUCCAUAAUCAUUUGUACCUUUGUUAUUAAUAAUACUAAAUGUGACUUUGAAGAAAUAAAUGGCAAAACUUUCCACUUGAAACAAGUACUCUUAUUAAGUUGC
Molecule: long non-coding RNA, 3251 nt
Organism: Gavialis gangeticus (Gharial)
Lineage: Eukaryota; Metazoa; Chordata; Crocodylia; Gavialidae
Exons: 2
Source: RefSeq, a predicted model, not a curated record